AAGUCGUAACAAGGUUUCCGUAGGUGAACCUGCGGAAGGAUCAUUAUCGGGAGAGGGGCUUCCGCGCUCCCCGGGGGUUUCGGCCCCCCAACUCUUCACCCCAUUGUCAACUUACCCCUUGUUGCUUUGGCGGAUUCCGGGGUAUGCCUUGCGUAGGUUUGUCAUAAACCCGUGCGAGAUGUGCCCCGGCGCCCCGCCGGAGGCCCCAUUAAAAAUCUGUUUAUCAGUGAAUGUCCGAGUAAAAAAACCAAUAAUAAAAAA
This 261-nucleotide unclassified non-coding RNA is filed under the name plant metagenome. RNAcentral describes it as "partial contains small subunit ribosomal RNA and internal transcribed spacer 1". The stretch from base 1 to 46 matches the Rfam family "Eukaryotic small subunit ribosomal RNA", at positions 1786 to 1831 of the family's 1831-position model. The record is from RNAcentral.